RNAcentral lists this ribosomal RNA (1298 nucleotides) under metagenome. RNAcentral describes it as "bacterial LSU rRNA". It matches the Rfam family "Bacterial large subunit ribosomal RNA", at positions 1609 to 2925 of the family's 2925-position model. The record is from RNAcentral.
AAAGAAAAGCUUCUAUCGAGUUUAAAGGCGCCCGUACCGUAAACCGACACAGGUGGGUGAGGAGAGUAUCCUAAGGCCAGCGAGAGAACUAUUGUUAAGGAACUCGGCAAGAUGACCCCGUAACUUAGGGAGAAGGGGUGCCUGUCUAUGACAGGCCGCAGAGAAUAGGCCCAAGCGACUGUUUACCAAAAACACAGGUUUCUGCUAAGUCGCAAGACGAUGUAUAGGAGCUGACGCCUGCCCGGUGCUGGAAGGUUAAGGGGAUCUGUUAGAGCAAUCGAAGCAGUGAACUUAAGCCCCAGUAAACGGCGGCCGUAACCAUAACGGUCCUAAGGUAGCGAAAUUCCUUGUCGGGUAAGUUCCGACCCGCACGAAAGGCGUAACGAUUUGGGCACUGUCUCAACAAUAGACUCGGUGAAAUUGUAAUCCCGGUGAAGAUGCCGGGUACCUGCGACAGGACGGAAAGACCCCAUGGAGCUUUACUGUAGCUUGACGUUGGGUCUUGGUACUACAUGUACAGGAUAGGUGGGAGACUAUGAAGCAUGGACGCCAGUCUGUGUGGAGUCAUCCUUGGGAUACCACCCUUGUAGUACUGGGAUCCUAACCAUAGGCCUUGAAUCAGGUCUUGGAACACCGUCAGGUGGGCAGUUUGACUGGGGCGGUCGCCUCCUAAAAAGUAACGGAGGCGCUCAAAGGUUUCCUCAGCACGGUCGGAAAUCGUGCGAGGAGUGUAAAGGCAAAAGGAAGCUUGAUUGCAAGACAUACAGGUCGAGCAAGGACGAAAGUCGGACUUAGUGAUCCGGUGGUACCGCAUGGAAGGGCCAUCGCUCAACGGAUAAAGCUACCCUGGGGAUAACAGGCUUAUCUCCCCCAAGAGUCCACAUCGACGGGGAGGUUUGGCACCUCGAUGUCGGCUCAUCACAUCCUGGGGCUGUAGUAGGUCCCAAGGGUUGGGCUGUUCGCCCAUUAAAGUGGUACGCGAGCUGGGUUCAGAACGUCGUGAGACAGUUCGGUCCCUAUCCGUCGCAGGCGUAGGAAAUUUGAGAAGACCUGUCCUUAGUACGAGAGGACCGGGAUGGACGUACCUCUGGUGUACCAGUUGUUCUGCCAAGGGCAUGGCUGGGUAGCUAUGUACGGAAUGGAUAAGCGCUGAAAGCAUCUAAGCGCGAAGCCAACUUCAAGAUAAGAUUUCCCACCGUAAGGGUAAGACCCCAGGAAGACUACCUGGUUGAUAGGUCGAAGGUGUAAGUGCAGUAAUGUAUUUAGCUUAUCGAUACUAAUAGGUCGAGGACUUGAUC